UCCCAGCACCCCGAGUGGUCGGGACGAUUAUUGGGCCUAAAGCAUCCGUAGCCGGUUUUACAAGUCCUCCGUUAAAUCCACCUGCUUAACAGAUGGGCUGCGGAGGAUACUAUAGAGCUAGGAGGCGGGAGAGGCAAGCGGUACUUAGUGGGUAGGGGUAAAAUCCGUUGAUCCAUUGAAGACCACCAGUGGCGAAGGCGGCUUGCCAGAACGCACUCGACGGUGAGGGAUGAAAGCUGGGGGAGCAAACCGG
RNAcentral lists this ribosomal RNA (253 nucleotides) under uncultured bacterium. RNAcentral describes it as "partial 16S ribosomal RNA". It matches the Rfam family "Archaeal small subunit ribosomal RNA", at positions 474 to 727 of the family's 1478-position model. The record is from RNAcentral.